RNAcentral lists this long non-coding RNA (2102 nucleotides) under Brassica napus (rape). RNAcentral's name for it is "long non-coding RNA (BNAP_LNC007623)". Lineage: Eukaryota; Viridiplantae; Streptophyta; Magnoliopsida; Brassicales; Brassicaceae. The record is from RNAcentral.
GAAGCUGUCGAUCAUUUGCAAUGAUCACAGGUGGACAAGUUGAUGUAUUGAUCAACUCAUUAGGUAGAUAACUCAACUCCAAAUCGGGUAAGCUAUCUUCUUCCAUAUCAAAAUCUUCCAAAACCAUUCUUUUAAAAUCCUCUAAGGUAGAAGUUGAUUCCAAUAACAGUAGCCUAGCCCCUCUCUCAUCAGCCGUAAAAACCCAUCCCGUGGUUGCUCCAAACUCCCAAACACCACAUGUUGUAUAGAUAUGCAUCAUAGAACAAGAGUUUGUAAAAAUCACAAGACAAACUAUAGAGAAAUCAUUGGAAAAUCAUAGAUUGGUGAAGAAGAACAUUCAAAAUCGAUUUUUUUUUUAAUUUUUCACGAACCAAAUCAAUGAAAACACGUUUUAGGAAGUUAGAAUAUUUUGAGAAUAUUUUAAAAACUGCAACUUCCUUAAUUUUCGAAAAUUCAGUUUUUUUAUCCGUAGAAGGCACCUUCUACACUGUGUAGAACAUAACAAAAUUCCAGAAUGUAAUUUCUACACUAUGUGGACGUUCGUAUAUGUUUUAGAUUUUGCAUUCCUGAUAACUUAGAAUACUCAAUAAAAGUAGAAACAGUUUUCUGAAUAAAAGUAGCGAUCAUUACAAAUAGUAGAAUACGUAUUCCCCAUAUUUAGAAUUAUAGUAAAAAGUAGUUUGUACGUUCUAAAACAAGUAGAUGGAUGUGUUCAUUCUAGAAUUCAUUUUCUACUUACCCGUUUUGUGUAGAAACAGAAUUCUACUUUUAGUAGAACGUAAUUUAAAAAUAUUAUUUAUUAUGUUUUUCAUCAGCAAUGACACUAUUUAGUUGUCUCAUAAACCAUUCCCAAGAAUUUUCAUUCUCUGAGUCGACUACUCCGAAUGCAAGAGGAUACAAAUUAGAAUUUCCGUCUACAGCAGUUGCAACCAAUAGAACUCCUUUGUAUUUGUUCUUCAGAAAAGUGCCAUCAACCACAAUAACCCUCCUUAUGACUCUGUUAAAUCCUCGUAUCGAUUGCCCAAAUACAAUAAAUAGGUACCGAAAUCUCCCUUUGCUGUCAAUCUCAUACGAUGAAUGUGUUCCCGGAUUAGCCUCUCUGAGCAUGUGCAAGUAUUUCGGUAUUUUUCCAUAACUUCUCUCUGGUAUACCUCUAACAGCAUUAACCGCAUAUUCACGAGCAUCCCAUGCUAAAGAUUUCGUGAUCUCACAGCCAUGAUCCAUAAGCAUAAUCUGUAUUAUAUCAUUGCAUUUCGGCCCUUCCUUAACCCCUUCAUACCUAUGCAUAAUCAGACUGCCUAUAGUUUUGGCCGAAGCAGUCCUACCCGGUUUGGUUUUGUUUGAAGGUGCGCAUGUAUGUUCACCGACAUACUUUUUGAUAAUGAAAUAUUCAGAAUCCUUCAAACACUCUGCUCGAACACACCAAUUGCAUGCAUUAUCCUCACAUCUAACAUACCAAAGUUGUCUAUCCGUUUUGAUAACCUCGUAGUGAAAGUUAUGCUUCAUUGCACAUAUCUCGAAAGUCGCCUUCAGCAAAGUUUUGUUCUCAAACAAUUGUCCCUUCUUAACAACAUUGAGCACAGAAAACUUUGACAUCUUAUGUAUGUCCUCUUUGGCCGAGAUCAUGGUAUCAGCAUGAUAGGCAUCCUCAUCAACUUCGACUCUUCUAAUCUUUUCUUUCUUUUUCUCGCACUGCCUCUCAACAAACACAGGAGCUGGUUCGUUCCCCCUAUCAACCGAGUUUCCCUCCUCUUGAGCAGUACUUGAAUCAGCUGGCGACUUGUUAAGAUCAAAGUCUGGUUCAUUCAGAUUCUCAACUUUGGCUUUAGAUGUUACACACAAUCGAGUAGAAACACACUUUUGAACAAAACCAACAAAAUUCUGAAGCUGUCGAUCAUUUGCAAUGAUCACAGGUGGACAAGUUGAUGUAUUGAUCAACUCAUUAGGUAGAUAACUCAACUCCAAAUCGGGUAAGCUAUCUUCUUCCAUAUCAAAAUCUUCCAAAACCAUUCUUUUAAAAACCUCUAAGGUAGAACUUGAUUCCAAUAACAGUAGCCUAGCCCCUUUCUCAUCAGCCAAAAAAACCCAUCCCGUGGUUGCUC